Molecule: ribosomal RNA, 1771 nt
Filed under: Haemophilus haemolyticus
Lineage: Bacteria; Pseudomonadati; Pseudomonadota; Gammaproteobacteria; Pasteurellales; Pasteurellaceae
Description: partial 23S ribosomal RNA
Rfam family: Bacterial large subunit ribosomal RNA
Source: RNAcentral
GAAAUAUAGCACCGAAGCUGCGGCAUCAGUAGCAAUACUGUUGGGUAGGGGAGCGUUGUGUAAGCGGAUGAAGGUGUGUUGAGAAGCAUGCUGGACGUAUCACAAGUGCGAAUGCUGACAUAAGUAACGAUAAAACGGGUGAAAAACCCGUUCGCCGGAAGACCAAGGGUUCCUGUCCAACGUUAAUCGGGGCAGGGUGAGUCGGCCCCUAAGGCGAGGCUGAAGAGCGUAGUCGAUGGGAAACAGGUUAAUAUUCCUGUACUUGGUAAAGCUGCGAUGUGGGGACGGAGUAGGUUAGGUUAUCGCACUGUUGGAUAUGUGCGUUUAAGUUGGUAGGUGGGAAGUUUAGGCAAAUCCGGACUUCCUUAACACUGAGAGAUGAUGACGAGGCUCUACGGAGCUGAAGUAACUGAUACCACACUUCCAGGAAAAGCCACUAAGCGAAAGGCUUUACUAAACCGUACUGAAAACCGACACAGGUGGUCAGGUAGAGAAUACUCAGGCGCUUGAGAGAACUCGGGUGAAGGAACUAGGCAAAAUAGCACCGUAACUUCGGGAGAAGGUGCGCCGGCGUAGAUUGUAAGGGCUAGCCCCUGAAGGUUGAACCGGUCGAAGAUACCAGCUGGCUGCAACUGUUUAUUAAAAACACAGCACUCUGCAAACACGAAAGUGGACGUAUAGGGUGUGAUGCCUGCCCGGUGCUGGAAGGUUAAUUGAUGGUGUAAUCGAAAGAGAAGCUCCUGAUCGAAGCCCCAGUAAACGGCGGCCGUAACUAUAACGGUCCUAAGGUAGCGAAAUUCCUUGUCGGGUAAGUUCCGACCUGCACGAAUGGCAUAAUGAUGGCCAGGCUGUCUCCACCCGAGACUCAGUGAAAUUGAAAUCGCCGUGAAGAUGCGGUGUACCCGCGGCUAGACGGAAAGACCCCGUGAACCUUUACUAUAGCUUGACACUGAACAUUGAAUUUUGAUGUGUAGGAUAGGUGGGAGACUUAGAAGUAGUCACGCCAGUGAUUAUGGAGUCGUCCUUGAAAUACCACCCUUUAACGUUUGAUGUUCUAACGAAGAUUGCGGAACGCGGUCUCGGACAGUGUCUGGUGGGUAGUUUGACUGGGGCGGUCUCCUCCCAAAGAGUAACGGAGGAGCACGAAGGUUUGCUAAUCACGGUCGGACAUCGUGAGGUUAGUGCAAUGGUAUAAGCAAGCUUAACUGCGAGACAGACAAGUCGAGCAGGUACGAAAGUAGGUCAUAGUGAUCCGGUGGUUCUGAAUGGAAGGGCCAUCGCUCAACGGAUAAAAGGUACUCCGGGGAUAACAGGCUGAUACCGCCCAAGAGUUCAUAUCGACGGCGGUGUUUGGCACCUCGAUGUCGGCUCAUCACAUCCUGGGGCUGAAGUAGGUCCCAAGGGUAUGGCUGUUCGCCAUUUAAAGUGGUACGCGAGCUGGGUUUAGAACGUCGUGAGACAGUUCGGUCCCUAUCUGCCGUGGGCGUUGGAGAAUUGGUUGGGGCUGCUCCUAGUACGAGAGGACCGGAGUGGACGCACCACUGGUGUUCCGGUUGUGUCGCCAGACGCAUUGCCGGGUAGCUAAGUGCGGAAGAGAUAAGUGCUGAAAGCAUCUAAGCACGAAACUUGCCAAGAGAUGAGUUCUCCCAGAUUUAAAAUCUGUAAGGGUUGUUUAAGACUAAGACGUAGAUAGGUGCGGUGUGUAAGUGAUGUGAGUCAUUGAGCUAACGCAUACUAAUUGCCCGAGAGGCUUAACUAUACAACGCUCAAG